This 464-nucleotide ribosomal RNA is filed under the name uncultured bacterium. RNAcentral describes it as "partial 16S ribosomal RNA". It matches the Rfam family "Bacterial small subunit ribosomal RNA", at positions 339 to 795 of the family's 1533-position model. The record is from RNAcentral.
CUACGGGAGGCUCCAGUGAGGAAUAUUGCGCAAUGGGCGAAAGCCUGACGCAGCGACGCCGCGUGGAGGAUGAAGGUCUUCGGAUUGUAAACUCCUGUUAAGUGGGAAGAAAGACUCUUUCUUAAUAGGAAAGAGGGACGACGGUACCAUUAGAGAAAGCACCGGCUAACUUCGUGCCAGCAGCCGCGGUAAUACGAGGGGUGCAAGCGUUAUUCGGAUUCAUUGGGCGUAAAGGGUGUGUAGGCGGCAACCUAAGUCAACUGUCAAAUUCCCCGGCCUAACUGGGGACCGGCGGUAGAUACUGGGUUGCUAGAGGAAGGAAGAGAGAAGUGGAAUUCUCGGAGUAGCGGUAAAAUGCGUGGAUCUCGAGAGGAACACCAAUGGCGAAGGCAGCUUCUUGGUCCUUUCCUGACGCUGAGACACGAAAGCGUGGGGAGCAAACAGGAUUAGAUACCCCCGUAGUC